CUGAAACGCGGCUCUUCUCGGAUCUCAAGCCGCUGGGUUCCCGACCGGAAGUCACGCCAUCUGCUCUCGCGUUGUCCAGUUUAACGCGGACACAGAUUUUGGGACUUCUCGGUCUCCAUACUCCUGUGAGCCAAUUCAGAGAUUUGCGGUCAGCAACCUGGAGAACCGUGGAGCGGAUGGUCUAACUUCCGGUCGGAAACGCAGCAGGGUUGAGAUCUGAGAAGAACCGUUUAUUCAGUUCCACUCUGAAGUUUUCACUUCUUCUCAGUCUACAUAAUUUGGCUGAGUCCUCAAAUAAAAAAUUGACGCUCACAACCAGAAGGACCCACAACGAGAAUAUACAACUAUGUACUAAGGGGCUUUGGGGAGAAGAGGAAGAAAAAAAAUUAAUGACUUAAGCAGACUGCUGGUAUGAAAUCUGCCUUUAUUUUAAUAACACGAUUUCUCAAGACUGUAUGACUAACUUUGAAAGAAGGAGUAGAACCACCACCUAGAGAGAAUUGUGAUGCUCAACAUUACAUAACUCCUUAGAGCUAGAUCUGGAACUAGAGUUUUUUCAAGUUGUACUUUUAUCUCAGACAAAUAAAUAUUGAAAUUAUUUAAUUCA
This 607-nucleotide long non-coding RNA is filed under the name Equus asinus (donkey). Its description in RNAcentral is "lncRNA (ENSEASG00005023579.1)". Lineage: Eukaryota; Metazoa; Chordata; Mammalia; Perissodactyla; Equidae. The record is from RNAcentral.